CCUACGGGUGGCAGCAGUGAGGAAUAUUGGUCAAUGGGCGAGAGCCUGAACCAGCCAAGUCGCGUGAGGGAAGACGGUCCUAUGGAUUGUAAACCUCUUUUGUCGGGGAGCAAAAGACGCCACGUGUGGCGUUCCGAGAGUACCCGAAGAAAAAGCAUCGGCUAACUCCGUGCCAGCAGCCGCGGUAAUACGGAGGAUGCGAGCGUUAUCCGGAUUUAUUGGGGUUAAGGGGUGCGCAGGCGGAAGAUCAAGUCAGCGGUAAAAUUGAGAGGCUCAACCUCUUCGAGCCGUUGAAACUGGUGUUCUUGAGUGAGCGAGAAGUAUGCGGAAUGCGUGGUGUAGCGGUGAAAUGCAUAGAUAUCACGCAGAACUCCGAUUGCGAAGGCAGCAUACCGGCGCUCAACUGACGCUCAUGCACGAAAGUGUGGGUAUCGAACAGGAUUAGAUACCCGGGUAGUC
This 459-nucleotide ribosomal RNA is filed under the name uncultured bacterium. RNAcentral's name for it is "partial 16S ribosomal RNA". It matches the Rfam family "Bacterial small subunit ribosomal RNA", at positions 338 to 795 of the family's 1533-position model. The record is from RNAcentral.